RNAcentral lists this ribosomal RNA (333 nucleotides) under Sphaeramene polytylotos. Its description in RNAcentral is "partial 12S ribosomal RNA". Lineage: Eukaryota; Metazoa; Arthropoda; Malacostraca; Isopoda; Sphaeromatidae. The record is from RNAcentral.
UUCCCAGGCCAAUUUUGAUUUAGGGUAGUAACUAGCUAUGUCCUUCAAACCCAAAGGAUUUGGCGGUGCUUAAUCUCACCAGAGGAAACUGUCGUGUAAUCGUCAUUACGCGCUAUAUCUCGCCCGAGCUUCGCUUGUAUACCGUCGUCUUUACACUGUUGUUAGAUAAAUGUACGAGCAGGUCACUCAAAUGACAGAUCAAGGUGCAGCGGUACCCGGGAACGGAUGGUUUACACUAGGAAAACCUGUGGACUUUGGUUAAAAUUCCAAAUGAAAAUGGAUUUGGCAGUAAUUCAGGAAAGAGUUCCCGGAUGAACGCGGCCUUAAGCUUAC